AGCGAACGCUGGCGGCAGGCCUAACACAUGCAAGUCGAACGAACCUUUCGGGGUUAGUGGCGGACGGGUGAGUAACACGUGGGAACGUGCCUUUAGGUUCGGAAUAACUCAGGGAAACUUGUGCUAAUACCGAAUGUGCCCUUCGGGGGAAAGAUUUAUCGCCUUUAGAGCGGCCCGCGUCUGAUUAGCUAGUUGGUUGAGGUAAUGGCUCACCAAGGCGACGAUCAGUAGCUGGUCUGAGAGGAUGAUCAGCCACAUUGGGACUGAGACACGGCCCAAACUCCUACGGGAGGCAGCAGUGGGGAAUCUUGCGCAAUGGGCGAAAGCCUGACGCAGCCAUGCCGCGUGAAUGAUGAAGGUCUUAGGAUUGUAAAAUUCUUUCACCGGGGACGAUAAUGUCGGUACCCGGAGAAGAAGCCCCGGCUAACUUCGU
RNAcentral lists this ribosomal RNA (433 nucleotides) under uncultured bacterium. Its description in RNAcentral is "partial 16S ribosomal RNA". It matches the Rfam family "Bacterial small subunit ribosomal RNA", at positions 29 to 506 of the family's 1533-position model. The record is from RNAcentral.